This is a long non-coding RNA of Sapajus apella (tufted capuchin), 224 nucleotides long. RefSeq lists it as uncharacterized. NCBI's taxonomy places the organism in Eukaryota, Metazoa, Chordata, Mammalia, Primates, Cebidae. The record is from RefSeq and is a predicted model, not a curated record. The transcript has 4 exons.
AAGGCACCCAAUUCUCUGAUGGGGAGGCUGGAAGAUGGCAGCCCCUGGAAUGGGGAGAUCUUCAGGCAGACCUACGGGUAGUUUGACAUAAACUCAUAGAACGAUAACGCAUUGCUCAAGAACUACAGGCUGCUCUACUGCUUCCGGAAGGACAUGGACAAGGUCGAGACAUUCCUGCGCAUUGUGCAGUGCCGUUCUGUGGAGGGCAGCUGUGGCUUCUAGCU